ACUUCUACGGGAGGCAGCAGGCGCGCAAAUUACUCAAUCCCAAUACGGGGAAGUAGUGACAAUAAAUAUCAAUACCUAUCCUUAACGGAGGGCAAUUGAAAUGAACACAAAUUAAAACUCUUAAUUAACACAAUUGGAGGGCAAGUCUGGUGCCAGCAGCCGCGGUAACCAUUUCUCAGGCUCCCUCUCCGGAAUCGAACCCUAAUUCCCCGUUACCCGUUACAACCAUGGUAGGCCAAUAC
Molecule: ribosomal RNA, 242 nt
Filed under: Dictyostelium purpureum
Lineage: Eukaryota; Evosea; Eumycetozoa; Dictyosteliales; Dictyosteliaceae
Description: partial 18S ribosomal RNA
Rfam family: Eukaryotic small subunit ribosomal RNA (bases 1-178)
Source: RNAcentral